CCCGACGACAAACGCAUAUAAUCCACCGCAGCGCCUGAAAGCACAGGACAAAUAAACAAGGCCCGGCAACUUCCCAUUGCUCGCUGUUGACAUUUCACGACGGUCGAGCGAGCGAGCGAGCGGGCGAGAGCGAGGAAGUGUCUACGUGACUAAGUGAACGCUCGCGCCCGCGUCCUAUGUCGCCGCCACCGAGGGGGGAGAAUGCUCUGACCGAGUUCGCGGGCCUCGGAAAAGCGUGUUCGUUUUUCUUUCUCGUCUUGAUCGUCACCAUUGGCAUUGUUGCUGCGUUUUGAAUAAAGUAACGAGGACAAGAUAGGGUUGCAAUUUCUCUCGCGGCUGCCGUGGGUGUGCGAAGCGAAGCGGCUGCAGAUAAAAUAUUGGGGUGUGAGAGUUCGGUUCGCAUGGCGUUGUUGAUCAGACGAACCCUUAUAUAAUUUUGUCGCAGCAUGCAAUCAUUAAGAAGAAAACUCACGUCCCAUCCACUUCGCAUAAUAUCAACGACCCACGGAAUGUUUAAUACAUGUCAGUGACUAACACCAACGAAGCUUUAAGAACCGACAGGAAGUAGUGAUGGCGAAGUUGCAGGGAAACGUUCAAUGCAACGAACUUGAAGGUCUUGUUGUGGCGCCAAGGACAUCCAAGUUUUUCCAGAUUUCCCGAACCUUUCUAGACCUAGGAAAAUAAAGCCGCCAUUGAUGAUAACCAAGGAACAUCUUACGAACAGAUCACAAUUAGUAAGGAUCAAGAAGGUUACAUCUGCUCCAAGAACUGUUCGUCUCUCUCGGUGUCCCCCAGGGAUCGGCGCUGGGUCCGAUUCUAUUUUCUUUUUAUGUGAUUGGUAUAUCCGAGGGCUCACAAGACUGCCUCGUAGUUCAGUGUGCAGAUGACACUCAUUUACUUCUUACUGGAGUUAAUUGAAAGAGCAGAAAGUCUUUUGUCGACUCUCAAAUUAUACUUUAAAAAGAUUACGAUACUGAUGACAGAUAAGAAGACUCAAUGAUAAUGUUUAAAUUCUAGUGGGAAUAUAAUUUAAGAAUUAGGGAGGUUAUUUUGAUCAAGAUACUUUUUAAUACACAUAUAGAAGAAAUGUACAGAUAGGUAAAUGACACACUUCUUUAUCUCAACAAAAUAGGUAAUUGCUUUGAUACUCACACACGAAUCACUGCUGUGCAAUCGCUCAACUAUUGCUCAAGAGUCUGGUAAGUCACAAAUAAAACCGAAAUAGAAAGAGUUCAGAAACUCCAAAAUUUCGCGGCAAGAGUCGCCUUUGGGGGUUAAGAAAGUACGACCAUGUACCCCCCGUUUUCAAGCAACUAGCAUAGUUAAGAGUUGAUAACACAUCUUUACAUGACAUGGCCAUUUUAGUUUUUAAGAUAUCAAAUCAUCAUUUAACACCUUCACUUUUACCGAAAUAAGAGGCACAGUUACGAGACAAAGCAAUGGCCUAUUUGUUGCACGAACCAAUACUACAGCUGGAUCAAAACUUUUAAUGGUUAGAGGCCCAUUAGUCUGGAACAGGAUUCCAUCUCAGGUUAAAUGCUGCCUCUCGUUCUGUGUUCAAAGACAGAUUAAAGAACUUUCUUUUAUGUGAACAGAAUCAGUCGUCACUCUAAUAUGGCAUCUGCAAAUGCUAGUGAAUUAUGUUCUAAUGUGCUGAUUUGAUUGUUUAAUUUCUGCUUUAUUGUAUAUUGCUGUUUAUAAUAUGUUUGUUUCAUACCAGUAUGGCGGAGUGAUACUGGAUGAUUGUAUAAUUUGUAUUAUAAUAUGUAUUCUAAAAUUCCUUUAUAAAUAUCAUUGUAAAGAAUACUCAUUUGGAAAAUGGAAAUAAAGAUUACCAUUAUUAU
This 1844-nucleotide long non-coding RNA is filed under the name Penaeus japonicus. RNAcentral describes it as "uncharacterized LOC122258741". Lineage: Eukaryota; Metazoa; Arthropoda; Malacostraca; Decapoda; Penaeidae. The record is from RNAcentral.